GAUUAAGAACGCAGCGAAAUGCGAUAAGUAAUGUGAAUUGCAGAAUUCAGUGAAUCAUCGAAUCUUUGAACGCACAUUGCGCCCGCCAGUAUUCUGGCGGGCAUGCCUGUCCGAGCGUCAUUUCAACCCUCGAACCCCUCCGGGGGGUCGGCGUUGGGGACCUCGGGAGCCCCUAAGACGGGAUCCCGGCCCCGAAAUACAGUGGCGGUCUCGCCGCAGCCUCUCCUGCGCAGUAGUUUGCACAACUCGCACCGGGAGCGCGGCGCGUCCACGUCCGUAAAACACCCAACUUCUGAAAUGUUGACCUCGGAUCAGGUAGGAAUACCCGCUGAACUUAAGCAUAUCAAUAAGCGGAGGA
This 358-nucleotide unclassified non-coding RNA is filed under the name soil metagenome. RNAcentral's name for it is "partial contains 5.8S ribosomal RNA, internal transcribed spacer 2, and large subunit ribosomal RNA". The stretch from base 1 to 120 matches the Rfam family "5.8S ribosomal RNA", at positions 35 to 154 of the family's 154-position model. The record is from RNAcentral.